AGACUGAGCUCAGGCGGUGCCACCUCCCGGCUGGGGCGGUUGCACCUCCCAGCCUCGUUGGAAGACUUAGCCUGGGCGGUGCUACCUCCUGGCUGGGGCAGUGCCACCUCUUUCACUAUUUCAGCUCACUUGGUUUGGCUCCAAACUUGGCCCAAACCAGUCCGAACUUGGGCCUAAUUGGCCCCUACUUGGGUUAUAGGAUUAACACCUAAUCCUAACCCUAAUUAAUGUGCUAACUAUGAUUUUAAAGACAUUUUCUAAGCUAUUACAAAGUCCGCAAGUCAAGACUUCUUCUAGCGAGCUUUCGGCAAACUUCCGGCGGUCUUCCGAUGAACUCUCG
This 340-nucleotide long non-coding RNA is filed under the name Musa acuminata (dwarf banana). RNAcentral describes it as "long non-coding RNA (MACU_LNC009613)". Lineage: Eukaryota; Viridiplantae; Streptophyta; Magnoliopsida; Zingiberales; Musaceae. The record is from RNAcentral.